GAUGAACGCUGGCGGCGUGCCUAAUACAUGCAAGUCGAGCGAACGGACGAGAAGCUUGCUUCUCUGAUGUUAGCGGCGGACGGGUGAGUAACACGUGGAUAACCUACCUAUAAGACUGGGAUAACUUCGGGAAACCGUAGCUAAUACCGGAUAAUAUUUUGAACCGCAUGGUUCAAAAGUGAAAGACGGUCUUGCUGUCACUUAUAGAUGGAUCCGCGCUGCAUUAGCUAGUUGGUAAGGUAACGGCUUACCAAGGCAACGAUGCAUAGCCGACCUGAGAGGGUGAUCGGGCAAACUGGAACUGAGACACGGUCCAGACUCCUACGGGAGGCAGCAGUAGGGAAUCUUCCGCAAUGGGCGAAAGCCUGACGGAGCAACGCCGCGUGAGUGAUGAAGGUCUUCGGAUCGUAAAACUCUGUUAUUAGGGAAGAACAUAUGUGUAAGUAACUGUGCACAUCUUGACGGUACCUAAUCAGAAAGCCACGGCUAACUACGU
Molecule: ribosomal RNA, 496 nt
Filed under: uncultured bacterium
Lineage: Bacteria
Description: partial 16S ribosomal RNA
Rfam family: Bacterial small subunit ribosomal RNA
Source: RNAcentral